RNAcentral lists this ribosomal RNA (487 nucleotides) under uncultured bacterium. Its description in RNAcentral is "bacterial SSU rRNA". It matches the Rfam family "Bacterial small subunit ribosomal RNA", at positions 28 to 509 of the family's 1533-position model. The record is from RNAcentral.
GAUGAACGCUAGCGGCAGGCUUAAUACAUGCAAGUCGAGGGGCAGCACGGGGGCAACCCUGGUGGCGACCGGCAAACGGGUGCGGAACACGUACGCAACCUUCCCAUAACUGGUGAAUAGCCUUUCGAAAGAGAGAUUAAUACACCGUAACAUAAUGAAGAGGCAUCUCUUUAUUAUUAUAGACUUCGGUCGGUUUUGGAUGGGCGUGCGCCUGAUUAGGUAGUUGGCGGGGUAACGGCCCACCAAGCCUGCGAUCAGUAACUGGUGUGAGAGCACGACCAGUCACACGGGCACUGAGACACGGGCCCGACUCCUACGGGAGGCAGCAGUAAGGAAUAUUGGUCAAUGGACGCAAGUCUGAACCAGCCAUGCCGCGUGAAGGAUGAAGGCCCUCUGGGUUGUAAACUUUCUUUUAUCUGGGACGAAAAAAGCUCAUUCUUGAGCACUUGACGGUACCAGAGGAAUAAGCACCGGCUAACUCCGUGCC